This 85-nucleotide transfer RNA is filed under the name Nitrososphaerota archaeon. Its description in RNAcentral is "Thaumarchaeota archaeon tRNA-Ser". It matches the Rfam family "tRNA". Rfam says of the family: Transfer RNA (tRNA) molecules are approximately 80 nucleotides in length. Their secondary structure includes four short double-helical elements and three loops (D, anti-codon, and T loops). Further hydrogen bonds mediate the characteristic L-shaped molecular structure. tRNAs have two regions of fundamental functional importance: the anti-codon, which is responsible for specific mRNA codon recognition, and the 3' end, to which the tRNAs corresponding amino acid is attached (by aminoacyl-tRNA synthetases). tRNAs cope with the degeneracy of the genetic code in two manners: having more than one tRNA (with a specific anti-codon) for a particular amino acid; and 'wobble' base-pairing, i.e. permitting non-standard base-pairing at the 3rd anti-codon position. The record is from RNAcentral. Lineage: Archaea; Thermoproteati; Nitrososphaerota. RNAcentral also lists the same sequence under 3 other names.
GCCGGGGUCGCCUAGCCUGGUUAGGGCGCAGGGUUGCUAACCCUGUCUCCGAAAGGAAUCGUGGGUUCGAAUCCCACUCCCGGCG